RNAcentral lists this transfer RNA (91 nucleotides) under Patescibacteria group bacterium. Its description in RNAcentral is "tRNA-Ser". It matches the Rfam family "tRNA". From Rfam's summary of the family: Transfer RNA (tRNA) molecules are approximately 80 nucleotides in length. Their secondary structure includes four short double-helical elements and three loops (D, anti-codon, and T loops). The record is from RNAcentral.
GGAGAGGUGGCCGAGCGGUUUAAGGCGCACGCCUGGAACGCGUGUUUCCGCCUCUGGCGGAUCGAGGGUUCGAAUCCCUUCCUCUCCGCCA